This 440-nucleotide ribosomal RNA is filed under the name uncultured bacterium. RNAcentral's name for it is "bacterial SSU rRNA". It matches the Rfam family "Bacterial small subunit ribosomal RNA", at positions 958 to 1398 of the family's 1533-position model. The record is from RNAcentral.
AACGCGAAGAACCUUACCUGGGCUCGAAAUGUACCGGAAUCCGGCAGAAACGUCGGCGUCUAGUAAUAGACCGGUAUAUAGGUGCUGCAUGGCUGUCGUCAGCUCGUGUCGUGAGAUGUUGGGUUAAGUCCCGCAACGAGCGCAACCCUUAUCUUCAGUUGCUAAUCCGCAAGGAAAGCACCCUAAGGGAACUGCCUGGGAUAACCAGGAGGAAGGUGGGGAUGACGUCAAGUCCUCAUGGCCUUUAUGCCCAGGGCUACACACGUGCUACAAUGGCCGGUACAAAACGUCGCAAACCCGCGAGGGGGAGCCAAUCGCCAAAAACCGGUCUCAGUUCGGAUUGCAGGCUGCAACUCGCCUGCAUGAAGCUGGAAUCGCUAGUAAUCGCGUAUCAGAACGACGCGGUGAAUACGUUCCCGGGCCUUGUACACACCGGAGUA